Molecule: ribosomal RNA, 420 nt
Filed under: Leuconostoc mesenteroides
Lineage: Bacteria; Bacillati; Bacillota; Bacilli; Lactobacillales; Lactobacillaceae
Description: bacterial SSU rRNA
Rfam family: Bacterial small subunit ribosomal RNA
Source: RNAcentral
CGGGCGGGGUGCCUAUACAUGCAAGUCGAACGCUUCUUUCCUCCCGAGUGCUUGCACUCAAUUGGAAAGAGGAGUGGCGGACGGGUGAGUAACACGUGGGUAACCUACCCAUCAGAGGGGGAUAACACUUGGAAACAGGUGCUAAUACCGCAUAACAGUUUAUGCCGCAUGGCAUAAGAGUGAAAGGCGCUUUCGGGUGUCGCUGAUGGAUGGACCCGCGGUGCAUUAGCUAGUUGGUGAGGUAACGGCUCACCAAGGGCACGAUGCAUAGCCGACCUGAGAGGGUGAUCGGCCAGACUGGGACUGAGACACGGCCCAGACUCCUACGGGAGGCAGCAGUAGGGAAUCUUCGGCAAUGGACGAAAGUCUGACCGAGCAACGCCGCGUGAGUGAAGAAGGUUUUCGGAUCGUAACACUCAG